This 468-nucleotide ribosomal RNA is filed under the name uncultured bacterium. RNAcentral describes it as "partial 16S ribosomal RNA". It matches the Rfam family "Bacterial small subunit ribosomal RNA", at positions 28 to 507 of the family's 1533-position model. The record is from RNAcentral.
GACGAACGCUGGCGGCGUGCUUAACACAUGCAAGUCGAACGGAAAGGCCCUGCUUUUGUGGGGUGCUCGAGUGGCGAACGGGUGAGUAACACGUGAGUAACCUGUCCUUGACUUUGGGAUAACUUCAGGAAAAUGGGGAUCAUACCGGAUAGGAGCUCCUGCUGCAUGGUGGGGGUUGGAAAGUUUCGGCGGUUGGGGAUAGACUCGCGGCUUAUCAGCUUGUUGGUGGGGUAGUGGCUUACGAAGGCUUUGACGGGUAGCCGGCCUGCGAGGGUAGACAGCCACAAGAGUACUGAGGUACGGACCAGACGCGUACGGUAGGCAGCAGGGGAAAGUAUGGCACAAUGAGGGGGAGCGUGAUACGGCGGCGCCGCGGGCGUGAUGACGGCCUUCGAGGUAUGAACCGCUUUCGCCUGAGACAGAGCGUGCGUGACGGUAACGGAUAAAGAAGCACCGGCUAACUACGUG